CCUACGGGUGGCUGCAGUAGGGAAUAUUGCUCAAUGGGCGAAACCCUGAAGCAGCAACGCCGCGUGGAGGAUGAAGGUUUUCGGAUUGUAAACUUCUUUUGUUAGGGAAGAUAAUGACGGUAUCUAACGAAUAAUCACCGGCUACCUCCUUUCCAGCAGCCGCGGUAAUACGGAGGGUGCAAGCGUUACUCGGAAUCACUGGGCGUAAAGAGCGCGUAGGCGGGAUAGCAAGUCAGAUGUGAAAUCCUAUGGCUUAACCAUAGAACUGCAUUUGAAACUGUUAUUCUUGAGUAUGGGAGAGGUAGGUGGAAUUCUUGGUGUAGGGGUAAAAUGCGUAGAUAUCAAGAGGAACACUCAUUGCGAAGGCGACCUGCUAGAACAUAACUGACGCUGAUGCGCGAAAGCGUGGGGAGCAAACAGGAUUAGAUACCCUAGUAGUC
This 440-nucleotide ribosomal RNA is filed under the name uncultured bacterium. RNAcentral describes it as "partial 16S ribosomal RNA". It matches the Rfam family "Bacterial small subunit ribosomal RNA", at positions 338 to 795 of the family's 1533-position model. The record is from RNAcentral.